CCCUACGGGGCGCAGCAGGCGCGAAAACUCUACAAUGCAGGCAACUGCGAUAGGGGAACAUCGAGUGAUACUCAUAUUGGGUGUCUGUCCCACCGUCUAAAAAACGGGUGUUAGCAAGGGCCGGGCAAGACCGGUGCCAGCCGCCGCGGUAAUACCGGCGGCUCGAGUGGUGGCCGAUAUUAUUGAGUCUAAAGGGUCCGUGGCCGGCUUUGCAAGUCCUGUGGGAAAUCCAGCGGCUUAACCGUUGGGCGUCCGCGGGGUACUACAUUGCUUGGGACUGGGAGAGGUAGGAGGUACUCAGGGGGUAGGUAGUGUAUCCUGUAAUCCA
RNAcentral lists this ribosomal RNA (328 nucleotides) under uncultured archaeon. RNAcentral describes it as "bacterial SSU rRNA". It matches the Rfam family "Archaeal small subunit ribosomal RNA", at positions 321 to 649 of the family's 1478-position model. The record is from RNAcentral.